CAGACUUCGGGAACGAAGCAGUGAAGAUUAGCCAUGAUUUUAACAAUCAAGGACGUUCUUUGAUGAGCGUAUGAAGACAUGGUGAGGUUAUUUUGAAAAUUAAGCUUGAACUGAGGAACGGCCAAUUCACCAGGAGAUGAGAAUGCACUUAGAACCCAUCCAGAUGAGGUAAACAGAUCGUAGUCAAGCGUUGCAUCGUCUUCCCUUGAAGAAAGAUCAGAAGAGCACAACAUUGACAAGAAAUCUCCAUGAGGGAGACAAAACACUGCGCUGAGAACCAUUGUCUGUAGAUUAAGAUUUAACAUCCCUCACACAUUAAAAUCACAGAUAAAGCAAAGGCAAGGGGAGUAAUUCAACAAAUACUUACAAAAUGUUUGGUGAAAAAACGUCGAAAAUGUGAGUCAUCCGAGAACACGUCAGCCAAGCGCAUAGCGUUAAGUAGCACAAAACCCAUUGGAUACUCAUGAGGAGGAGUACUAGCCUUGGAGGCUCUAGAAAGGCCAAGCCUCAUUAAUUCAAGAACCUAGAUUACAGAUAUAACAUCAUUAGAUAAGUCAACACUACUCCACUGUUUAAACAGAACCCUUAUUAGGACUAACCUUUGAGGCAACAGUUUGGGCUAAAUGCAAGCUUCCUGAACGCUCAACCUCGUCAAGGAAUGAGACACUUUCCGCCUCAAACAAAUGGUGCAACUGCACGAAACAUAAAACUUUUGGUAUGAGACUUACAGACAGUAGUAAAUAGAGGAAACAACUAUGCUAAGUUACAACAAAACUUACAAGUGAGAGGGCUUUUGCAUUUAUUCUAGAUAUGGAAGCUAUUAUUACGGCUGCUCCAACCCAUUCAGGAGUUAUAUAUAGUGAUAGUAUGGACUGAGCUAGCAUAAGAACACCACCUUUUCCACAUAGCUCCUGAAAAGAAUAAUACCAUAAAACCUAAUUCUGAGAAUCACUCUCCCAAACAUUAUUAAUCUAUCAUAGCGGUUAAAGAGUCAGGCAGUAGAGAAACCUGGUUUUUAGCGACACGGUCUCUAAACAGUUUGUGUUGGCAUAGAGAGUGAAGGAACUGCAAAGCAGCUUCAGCUUGUUGGCAGUGUGCGUUAACGGCCCCUACAGAAUUAGCACCUAGCUUCUUCGGUUGGUCGGCUUGCCGAUGCAGCAACUUCGCUCUUAAAGAUCUCACAACAUUAUGAACUGCUCCAAAAGCAGCGUCUAUAAACACAUCAACCUAGAUGAGAAACAUAACAAUCAGAUCAAAUGAAUCCCAAUAUCUCAAAGCACAAGCGUGAUCUUUCCAUAUAUUGGCAUUUCAAGGACACCUCAUGGUAAAAGGUCAUACCUUAGGGUGGGCAAGCAAGACUAUAACAAGAUCUUGGGAGUUAGGAGAGAUGAACCCGUGCAUCAGGUGAAGAGUAGAAGCCACCAUUGUAGCUUCUAUCAAUGAGUCAUAAUCUGAUUUCCAGCUUUCCUACAAGGAAGAGACCCUGUUAAGUUUCAUACGCUUUCAAUUUAAAACCAUUGUAGUGGCACAAGUCCCUUAUAUGUCCCAUAGAUCUAUACUCCAACACCCUCCCUCGAGAUAAUAACAAUUAAUUUCGACAUAAUCUAUCAGACACAGAGAGAGUAUUAUACCUUCCUAUUACCGCCGAGAGCUACCAUGGUAAAGAUCACAAGAUCAUAUGCAACCAACCAAAACACAAGUACACGGGGUUAACACUCAACCAUUCAUCAACAUUCAUUUCAAAUUCAACUCAACCUAGUACACAUAGUUCAGUUCAAAUUCAACUCUAGCUAGCACUCGAAUUGAUUAAGAUUGAGUGUUACCUUUUUUUUCAGUCGAAGCAUAGCUUCUCCAAGUCCGCGACCUGCACUGAGAGGUUAUAAACCUGCCCAGUGAGGUUAUCAACCUCUCCAUUGAGGGCUUUAACCUCUGCCUGGGCAUGGAAACAACAAUCACACUGUGUUAGUCAGUUAAUAAAAAAUGAUGGAAAAUAUUACAAAUUUAAAACAAAAUUUUGGAAGUCACUUUACCUCCAGUCUCUCAAUCUGAUUAUUGACCUUCGGCACCCACUUGAUCACCAGCUCAACCUCCUCCAUACGCUUAGUGAGGCGUUCGAUAUGCUCCUGGACACCAAUCACCCAAGGCUGACGGUAAUGAAACCCAUCAGCCUUGUUAAGCACAAAAACACAUGUGAGAAUCUCGUUAGAAACUCAAUUAAAUGGAAAUAAUUUAAUUGAGAAGAAGCGCUUACUUUGUAGUUUUUGCAGGUGAAGAACCGCUUCCCAGGAAGAGUGUCGUAGUCGUCCUUCCCCCGAACAUCGUCAAUGAUUCUCCCUCCGCAGGGACACCUCGUCGGAAUCCCGUAUUCUGAAUCUGCCACGUAUCCUUGCAUGUUGAUCAACUCCGUCUGCCUCUUUGUCUCUCUUCUCUCUUCUGCGGGAUCCAUCUGUACCAGAAAAAGCAAAUAUUAGAACACAAUAAACGGUAGAGCGUAACCAGAAACUCGUUUUGGAACCCUAAGUAGAAACCCCCAAAUCGAUUUCAAAUCCUCAAGAAACGAACCCUAAAUUGAACCCGCAUGGCGAUUAUUAACCCUAAAUCAAAACCCCCAUAUCGAUUUUGAACCCUACAUCAAAACCCCCAAAUCGAUUUUCAAUUAACCGAUAACCCUUUCGACCCCAAAUAGAUUCUAUGAAACCGUAAAAGUAGUUGAUACUCACCUCAGAUCGUUUACGAGAGUCUCCGACGUCGAUUCAAUCGAGAAAUUCUCCGGCUGUCGCGUCGCACGAGAUAUCGCCUCCCACAGAGAGAAACCCUAGCUUUCGAAAAAAGGAGAGAAAAUGAAUCAUCUCACGCGUAACCCUAUUUUUCUCCCUCUCGACGCGAAAACACGCGGCCAAUGCCUGUCCGACGCGUGGCUUGAACCCGUAUCAUACGGACUCACUCCAAAGAGACGGAUCACCCAAUUAAACUCAAUAAAACAUUUCUUUUUAUUUUCCGGGUCUAUAAACCCCAGCCCAUGAACUCCUAUUAAUCCGCUAAUGCGGAUGCUCUUAGGUAUGACUUUUACUUUUUGGACUUCUUAAUUUUAAUCUAUGUUUUUUAAAAAAUUGUUUCUAAAGAUAUAUAUUUUUUAAGUGAAUGAUAAAUUGUAAAUUUAUAAAAUUUAAUUGUGUUUAUUGAAUUUUAAUUGAUUAAAAAUUAAGAAAAUAGUUAAUCACAAAGAUAAAUAUAUUUAUAAUAACACCUUAAUAUAUUUUAUUAAUAUAUAUAUACGAGAACUCUUUUUUCUUUGGGUCAAAAUAUGUGAUAUAUUUUAGCCUUUUUAAAAUGGAGGGAGUAUUUAUUUGUCUAUGUAUAACAUUUUGGUUGAUCAUUUCCGUUUGAAACAUUCUUGAAAUAGUGAGAUGAUGCACAAGUUCUCGGAGCAACUAGUGGAACUGGAUGUAAUGGUGAGAAGAAUGAUAAUGGAGAGUUUUGGAGUAGAGAAGUACCUUGACGAGCAUCUAAAUUCUACAAACUAUCUCUUUCGAAUGAUGAAGUACACAGCACCUCCUGAUGAAGAUGUAGAAGAGGCAAAGCUAGGUUUACGUUCUCAUACGGACAAGAACAUCAUCACCAUACUUCAUCAGUAUGAAGUUGAUGGUUUGGAAAUUAUGACCAAAGAUGGACAAUGGAUCAAAGUGAAACCAUCUCAACAUUCUUUCAUCAUUAUGGUUGGAGAUUCUCUAUGUGUAAGUUCCUUCAAACUUCACACACAUGCACACACUAUUUAAAACAAUACUCAUUUGUUUGUUGAUCGAUGUUGCAGGCACUUUUGAAUGGUAGAUUGUAUUCUCCAUACCACCGAGUCUUGAUGGUGGCAAAGAAGACAAGGUAUUCGACUGCAAUGUUCUCUGUUCCAAAAUCAGGAGUUAUCAUAGAUUCACCUGAAGAGGUUGUCGACGAAGAACAUCCUCGUAUGUUCAAACCCUUUGAAUAUAUGGAUUUCCUUAACUUCUUUCACUCGGAAGCAGGUAGCAGAGUUGAAUCUACUCUCCAUGCUUUUUGUGCUCUCUAAAACAUUUAAACUUUUAUUCACAAUAAUGAAUGUAAUUGACUUCACAUUAUAUGGUAUAGGUUUUGUUCCUUUUUCUUUUCAUGUUUUCUGUAAUUUGAUAUGUUAUCACAUGCAUAUAUUUAAUUAUAUAGUUCAAAAACAAAUCAAUUUCUGAAAAAAAAACUCUAAUUAAUUACUUAUGUAAUUUAUGAAAGACUAGAAACACUUUUAGUAAGUGCUAUUUCCAAAUAAUCACUAGUCAUUAUGAACUUCAUUGUCUAAGGUUACUUGUUAAAAUUAAGAAAUGUACUUUAAAUAGCAUUAAAGUCAACUAAAGAAGAAAAGAGUCAACUCUUCCCACUGUUAUACUUAUUUUCAGUUAUUUGCUCUCAAAGUCUCAACCUUUACUUGUUAACAACCAGAGAGCGAGAGGGAGACAGAGUUCCUAAAAACAGAGAAUCUUUCGGGUUAAGACCAAAAGAGAAAGCUCUAAAGUCUAAACAACAGGUAAGAACAUAAAAAAAAACCUACUGGUCAGAUAUCUCAAUGCAAACCGAGUCUGUUACUGAAGCUUGCUCAUAUCCCAAGCCACUCUCAUAACACCAAACCUCGAGUUAGCUUCUCCAAAAGUCCUCCCAACAUCAUCAGACCCAUAAGGGAUGCUCAUCUUGCUAUAAUCAUAUAACCCACUAAGCUCCAUCACAUCAACCACGCAAACCUGUCUCGUCUCCAGGCUUAAACCGUACCACUCACCGUCCGUUUUCAAAACCGUUCCUUUACCGACCUCGACUCCUCUCUCGUCCACAAGCAUCACUUGCUGCCCACGCUUCAGCCCUUCUGACGAUGAUGCAGAAGCUUUAUCUGCAAAUGGUGUUGUUGGUUUCUGCUGCUGCUGCUGCCAAGUGUUUUCAUCUCCGGGACUCUCUGGUAAAUCCCCUGAGCUAUUGUUAUCACGUGAUGGCCCUUGCUUGCUUGCUGCUCGAGCUAGCUUUGCUUUUCUGUUAUUCAGCCUGACAACAACAACAACAACAAAAAAACUACCCCCUCAGUUCCAUUAAAAUAGAUGUUUUAGAAAAAAAAAUUGUUUCACGAAAAUAAUUUUUUGUGUUUUCAUUGAAAAAGUUUUAAACUUCAGGAAAAUUAAUCGACUUUAUUGAAUUAUUAUUGGGAUGCAACGUUAUUAAAAAUUCAAAAUUACAGAAGAUAAUACAUUUAUUAUAGCGAUUUAAUGUGUUUUAUUAAUAUGUACGAAAACAGUCAAAAUUCUAUCUUUGUGAAACAGAGGUAGUAAAAAUGUAAGAUUGAGACAUAGUGAUAGCUAGAGAGAGAGAGAUAGAAGCAGGUACCAGUUCUUCAGCUGUGCAGAUGUAACCUCAGGACCCUGCAAGCUGAGUUUAUCAGCCCAUGUCCGUAUCCAAGCCGAGUUCCGCUGCAUAUCAGGCUCAUCAACAAGCGCCUUCUCCAUCAUCGCCAUCUGAUCAUCACUCAUUAUACUCCGCUUCCUUUUGGUCCUCUGUUUCUCCAAUAAAAGAGAAGCUUCGGCUCUCUCAUCCUCCUUCACCUCUCCAGAGGAAGCGCUCACUUUAAGCCGCUUGGUGAAAGUGCGAGCCAAAUCUCCAUCUUCAGCCUGAUCAACCAGACCUUUCCCUCCUCUGUUAGAGCUUGUUUGUGAACCGCUGGUUUCGAGAUUGUCGCUUUCUUUGGACCGUUCAGCUGUUUCCAUCUCCUCCUUGUUCACGCCUUGCUUUGUCGCGGCACCUUCCGCUCGGACAUCAGAAUCCUCUGAAGCUUCGUCGUUGUUGAGAUUCAGAGGCUCUUUCCCCAGCUGCUUGCCAGAUGAACUCCCUCCCGCACCUUGAUUGUCCUAGAACAUAUGAUCGACAAGAGUAAAAUGUCGUUGCAGUUACUUGUAUCAGUUUAAAUAAACAGAUGCUCAUAAACAAAUGCAUACAAUUGUAACAAGUAACAACAAUGUACAAGAGAGUAAGUAGCUUUUCACCUUCACCUCAGCCUGACUUUCCUCAAACUCAGAACGGAUUAGCGGCUCCAACUGUUGACAGAACACCCUGCAGAAGACAGCAUCCCAAAAAAAUAUAUAUAUAUAUAUAUAUAUCAAUACAAAACAGCACCGCUCAAGAACUAUAGAAAUCUUCUUCAAUAUUGUCUUCAAGGUGAAACGUAGAAUGACUGAGAGAGGUUCAUUCACCUCAAAAUCAUUAAAUCUUCGACAUUGAGUGCAUUAGGGAUCAAGAACUCUGCGUGAUGCAACAGAGAACCUACAAAAAUACAAACAUCCAUCACAAUGAAAUCAACAAAACGAUGUGUAACAAGAAUGUGUGGGGAUAAAGGGGUACACACUUAUGUUUUUGCAAACACUAGUGCCUCUCUGAGCCUUCGGAGUAUAUGUAGAGCUUGGUAAUAGAUUAACCAGUAUGCUUGUGGGAUCCUUUCGCAAUCCACUCACAAACGUUUGAAUGAAACGGUUCCUGUCAUCUUCUGCAGGUUUCAACAGCAAAUCCACAUAGUGAGAAACAAAGGUACAAGCACAUGGUGAGGUUAUUUAAAAAUUCACCUGUGCAGACUUCGGGAACGAAGCAGUGAAGAUUAGCCAUGAUUUUAACAAUCAAGGACGUUCUUUGAUGAGCGUAUGAAGACAUGGUGAGGUUAUUUUGAAAAUUAAGCUUGAACUGAGGAACGGCCAAUUCACCAGGAGAUGAGAAUGCACUUAGAACCCAUCCAGAUGAGGUAAACAGAUCGUAGUCAAGCGUUGCAUCGUCUUCCCUUGAAGAAAGAUCAGAAGAGCACAACAUUGACAAGAAAUCUCCAUGAGGGA
Molecule: long non-coding RNA, 6872 nt
Filed under: Brassica napus (rape)
Lineage: Eukaryota; Viridiplantae; Streptophyta; Magnoliopsida; Brassicales; Brassicaceae
Description: long non-coding RNA (BNAP_LNC022382)
Source: RNAcentral